RNAcentral lists this ribosomal RNA (1400 nucleotides) under uncultured bacterium. Its description in RNAcentral is "bacterial SSU rRNA". It matches the Rfam family "Bacterial small subunit ribosomal RNA". The record is from RNAcentral.
AGAGUUUGAUCAUGGCUCAGAUUGAACGCUGGCGGCAGGCCUAACACAUGCAAGUCGAACGGUAACAGGAAGCAGCUUGCUGCUUUGCUGACGAGUGGCGGACGGGUGAGUAAUGCCUGGGAAACUGCCUGAUGGAGGGGGAUAACUACUGGAAACGGUAGCUAAUACCGCAUAACGUCGCAAGACCAAAGAGGGGGACCUUCGGGCCUCUUGCCAUCGGAUGUGCCCAGAUGGGAUUAGCUAGUAGGUGGGGUAACGGCUCACCUAGGCGACGAUCCCUAGCUGGUCUGAGAGGAUGACCAGCCACACUGGAACUGAGACACGGUCCAGACUCCUACGGGAGGCAGCAGUGGGGAAUAUUGCACAAUGGGCGCAAGCCUGAUGCAGCCAUGCCGCGUGUAUGAAGAAGGCCUUCGGGUUGUAAAUACCUUUUCAGCGGGGAGGAAGGGAGUAAAGUUAAUACCUUUGCUCAUUGACGUUACCCGCAGAAGAAGCACCGGCUAACUCCGUGCCAGCAGCCGCGGUAAUACGGAGGGUGCAAGCGUUAAUCGGAAUUACUGGGCGUAAAGCGCACGCAGGCGGUUUGUUAAGUCAGAUGUGAAAUCCCCGGGCUCAACCUGGGAACUGCAUCUGAUACUGGCAAGCUUGAGUCUCGUAGAGGGGGGGUAGAAUUCCAGGUGUAGCGGGUGAAAUGCGUAGAGAUCUGGAGGAAUACCGGUGGCGAAGGCGGCCCCCUGGACGAAGACUGACGCUCAGGUGCGAAAGCGUGGGGAGCAAACAGGAUUAGAUACCCUGGUAGUCCACGCCGUAAACGAUGUCGACUUGGAGGUUGUGCCCUUGAGGCGUGGCUUCCGGAGCUAACGCGUUAAGUCGACCGCCUGGGGAGUACGGCCGCAAGGUUAAAACUCAAAUGAAUUGACGGGGGCCCGCACAAGCGGUGGAGCAUGUGGUUUAAUUCGAUGCAACGCGAAGAACCUUACCUGGUCUUGACAUCCACAGAACUUUCCAGAGAUGGAUUGGUGCCUUCGGGAACUGUGAGACAGGUGCUGCAUGGCUGUCGUCAGCUCGUGUUGUGAAAUGUUGGGUUAAGUCCCGCAACGAGCGCAACCCUUAUCCUUUGUUGCCAGCGGUCCGGCCGGGAACUCAAAGGAGACUGCCAGUGAUAAACUGGAGGAAGGUGGGGAUGACGUCAGGUCAUCAUGGCCCUUACGACCAGGGCUACACACGUGCUACAAUGGCGCAUACAAAGAGAAGCGACCUCGCGAGAGCAAGCGGACCUCAUAAAGUGCGUCGUAGUCCGGAUUGGAGUCUGCAACUCGACUCCAUGAAGUCGGAAUCGCUAGUAAUCGUGGAUCAGAAUGCCACGGUGAAUACGUUCCCGGGCCUUGUACACACCGCCC